Molecule: transfer RNA, 85 nt
Filed under: Osmundea sinicola
Lineage: Eukaryota; Rhodophyta; Florideophyceae; Ceramiales; Rhodomelaceae
Description: tRNA-Leu
Rfam family: tRNA
About the family: Transfer RNA (tRNA) molecules are approximately 80 nucleotides in length. Their secondary structure includes four short double-helical elements and three loops (D, anti-codon, and T loops). Further hydrogen bonds mediate the characteristic L-shaped molecular structure. tRNAs have two regions of fundamental functional importance: the anti-codon, which is responsible for specific mRNA codon recognition, and the 3' end, to which the tRNAs corresponding amino acid is attached (by aminoacyl-tRNA synthetases). tRNAs cope with the degeneracy of the genetic code in two manners: having more than one tRNA (with a specific anti-codon) for a particular amino acid; and 'wobble' base-pairing, i.e. permitting non-standard base-pairing at the 3rd anti-codon position.
Source: RNAcentral
ACAGGUAUGAUGAAAUUGGUAAACAUAUUAGAUUUAGAUUCUAACGCUUUAAAAAAGAUUGAGGGUUCAAAUCCCUCUACCUGUA